AUUGAACGCUGGCGGCAGGCCUAACACAUGCAAGUCGAGCGAGCGGCGGACGGGUGAGUAAUGUAUGGGGACUGCCCGAUAGAGGGGGAUAACUACUGGAAACGGUAGCUAAUACCGCAUACUAUCGGAUAACCCAUAUGGGAUUAGCUAGUAGGUGAGGUAAGGGCUCACCUAGGCGACGAUCCCUAGCUGUUCUGAGAGGAUGAGCAGCAAAACUGUGACUGAGACAGGGCCCAGACUCCUAGGGAGGCAGCAGUGGGGAAGAGUGCACAAGGGGCGCAAGCCUGAUGCAGCCAUGCCGCGUGUAUGAAGAAGGCACUAGGGUUGUAAAGUACUUUCAGGCGGGAGGGGUUACCGACAGAAGAAGCACCGGCUAACUCCGUGCCAGCGGCCGCGUAAUAC
Molecule: ribosomal RNA, 402 nt
Filed under: uncultured bacterium
Lineage: Bacteria
Description: partial 16S ribosomal RNA
Rfam family: Bacterial small subunit ribosomal RNA
Source: RNAcentral